RNAcentral lists this ribosomal RNA (323 nucleotides) under uncultured bacterium. Its description in RNAcentral is "bacterial SSU rRNA". It matches the Rfam family "Bacterial small subunit ribosomal RNA", at positions 28 to 334 of the family's 1533-position model. The record is from RNAcentral.
GAUGAACGCUGGCGGCGUGCUUAACACAUGCAAGUCGAACGAAGCGCUUAAGCUGAUUUCUUCGGAUUGAUUCUUGAGUGACUGAGUGGCGGACGGGUGAGUAACGCGUGGGUAACCUGCCUCAUACAGGGGGAUAACAGUCGGAAAUGGCUGCUAAUACCGCAUAAGCGCACAGUACCGCAUGGUACAGUGUGAAAACUCCGGUGGUAUGAGAUGGACCCGCGUCUGAUUAGCUGGUUGGUGGGGUAACGGCCCACCAAGGCGACGAUCAGUAGCCGGCCUGAGAGGGUGAACGGCCACAUUGGGACUGAGACACGGCCCAA